UUCAUUAAUCAGGAACGAAAGUUAGGGGAUCGAAGACGAUCAGAUACCGUCGUAGUCUUAACCAUAAACUAUGCCGACUAGGGAUCGGACGAUGUUAUUUUUUGACUCGUUCGGCACCUUACAAGAAAUUAAAGUUUCUGGGUUCCGGGGGGAGUAUGGUCGCAAGGCUGAAACUUAAAGAAAUUGACGGAAGGGCACCACCAGGGGUGGAGCCUGCGGCUUAAUUUGACUCAACACGGGGAAACUCACCAGGUCCAGACACAAUGAGGAUUGACAGAUUGAGAGCUCUUUCUUGAUUUUGUGGGUGGUGGUGCAUGGCCGUUCUUAGUUGGUGGAGUGAUUUGUCUGCUUAAUUGCGAUAACGAACGAGACCUUAACCUGCUAAAUAGCCCGUAUUGCUUUGGCAGUACGCUGGCUUCUUAGAGGGACUAUCGGCUCAAGCCGAUGGAAGUUUGAGGCAUUAACAGGU
RNAcentral lists this ribosomal RNA (469 nucleotides) under uncultured fungus. Its description in RNAcentral is "SSU rRNA". It matches the Rfam family "Eukaryotic small subunit ribosomal RNA", at positions 969 to 1461 of the family's 1831-position model. Lineage: Eukaryota; Fungi. The record is from RNAcentral.